Molecule: ribosomal RNA, 253 nt
Filed under: uncultured bacterium
Lineage: Bacteria
Description: partial 16S ribosomal RNA
Rfam family: Bacterial small subunit ribosomal RNA
Source: RNAcentral
UACGUAGGGCGCGAGCGUUGUCCGGAAUUAUUGGGCGUAAAGAGCUCGUAGGCGGCCUGUCGCGUCAAUUGUGAAAGCCCAGGGCUUAACCCCGGGUCUGCAGUCGAUACGGGCAGGCUAGAGUGUGGUAGGGGAGAUCGGAAUUCCUGGUGUAGCGGUGAAAUGCGCAGAUAUCAGGAGGAACACCGGUGGCGAAGGCGGAUCUCUAGGCCAUUACUGACGCUGAGGAGCGAAAGCGUGGGGAGCGAACAGG